Molecule: RNA transcript, 4110 nt
Organism: Mus musculus (house mouse)
Lineage: Eukaryota; Metazoa; Chordata; Mammalia; Rodentia; Muridae
Gene: Cdk5rap1
Gene name: CDK5 regulatory subunit associated protein 1
Exons: 15
Source: RefSeq, marked provisional
AAAGCCCAUUGGCAAAGAGGAAGGCUGGGAAUGCCCCCCACUCCUUCCCUCCAAACCCAGUCUCUUGAUGAGAGUCAUGACAGGAAGAGGCCAGGAGGGGGCGCCUCUUUGCUACUCAUUCUAUGCUUGUAGAUUUUUGAACUGUCCACCUGCAGUUUGUGCUUCAACCAAAUGUUUUACACUUAAAUGUCUCACACUUUAAAACUAAUAUUUAUGGUGAAGCUUGGAAAAAACACUUAUGCUACAUAGGGUGGUUCUGACCCCAGGGCUCCGAUCUGGCUGAAUCCUGUUCUCAGCAUUUUCUUGAGUGUAGGGACUAUGGGUUCGGUCUGGGGGAGAAGAGGUAUUUUGGCUAGAGUCAACAGGGAAGGGAGAAUGGCUGAGAGGGCCAGGGCAGGAAUGUGACAGGAGUAGGGUAAGGAGGUAGUGAGGAACAAUUAGGCUGUUCAGGGCCAUCUGGGAGAUCCAGGAAAGACGAGGCCGUUCAGAGCUAGCCACAGAAACCACUGGUUAGCCUCUUUUCUAUUUUUUUUUACAUUUAUUCUAUUCCAUCUGUCUGUCUGCCUGUCUGUCUGUCUAUCCAUCAUCUACGAAAUUUUACUAUGUAGCUCUUUCUGGCUUCGAAUUAGCCUGCCUUUGCCUCCUGAGAACACCGAAGUGUGCUACAGCGUCCUGAGACGUCUGUGUGUGUGUGUGUGUGUGUGUGUGUGAGAGAGAGAGAGAGAGAGAGAGAGAGAGAGAGAGAGAUGUUGCAUGUCCCAUGGCCUAUCUGUGAAGUUCAGAGGGCUUGUGGGAGCCAGUUCUCCCUUCACCUUGUGGGUUCUGGGGAUUAGACCCCAGGUCGUCAAACAGCAAGUGUCCUACAUGCUGAGCCAUCUCACCAGCCCCAUGGUGGCCCUUUUCUUAAAGGGUCUGGUGAGGAGAGGGAAGGAAAGUACAUAUGGCAGGAGGGAGCUAACGGGUGACAGGCUUGAGGAGAAGUCAGAGCUCCUAUUUUCCAGGGGGCAGAACACCCCUAAGAAUCCCUUACUCUCUUGGGGCAAGGGCAGAUACAGACUCUGAGACUGCCCACCUGUUUGUUUGUUUGUUUGUUUUUCUAAUUAAAAAAGAUUUAUUAUGCAUAAUAGUACAGUGUCGCGGUCUUCAGACACACCAGAAGAGGGCAUCCAUCGGAUCCCUUUACAGAUGGUUGUGAGCCACCAUGUGGUUGCUGGGAAUUGAACUCCAGACCUCUGGAAGAGCACUCAGUGCUCUUAACCGCUGAACCAUCUCUCCAGCCCGCCUACCUGGUUUUAAGCUUUACUUAACUUUUUUUUUUGGGGUGGGGUGGGGUGGGGGUGGGGGGCGGUAUUAGCAUUUAAAGAAGUAGUAGGUCUCACGGCUUUAUUUUUCAAAGCCAGGGUCCUGGGACUCGAAGCCGGCAGGAAACACUACCAUUAGAACACCGCGGGCGAAAGUCACGGCGGAACAGAAGUUGCACGCCUAGGCGCGCAGCGGAGGACUCCUGAGAAGGGAACCCACGCAGAUCGACAGUUUCCGGUUUCGGACGCGGACCUUGCAGUUGUGGGAGAUUUGGGGCUGCAGGUGCCAUGCAUCCUUUACGGUGUGUCCUCCAAGUACAGAGGUUGUCAGCACCAUUCACCUCCAUGUGCUGGGUGUUGCUUAGGACCUGCAGAGCACAAAGCAGUGUGUCCAGCACUCCUUGUCCCAGUCCAGAGGCGAAGAGCUCAGAAGCUCAGAAGGACUUCAGCUCCAGGCUAGCCACUGGACCGACUUUUCAGCAUUUUUUAAGAAGUGCUUCAGUUCCUCAAGAGAAACCAUCUUCUCCAGAGGUGGAGGACCCACCUCCCUAUCUCUCGGGGGAUGAACUUCUAGGAAGGCAGAGAAAAGUCUACCUCGAGACCUAUGGCUGUCAGAUGAACGUGAACGACACAGAGAUAGCCUGGUCCAUCUUACAGAAGAGUGGCUACCUUCGGACCAGCAACCUCCAAGAGGCUGAUGUGAUCCUUCUUGUCACGUGUUCUAUCAGGGAGAAGGCCGAGCAGACCAUCUGGAACCGCUUACAUCAGCUCAAAGUCCUGAAGACAAAGCGGCCACGCUCUCGAGUACCUCUGAGGAUUGGGAUUCUAGGCUGCAUGGCUGAGAGGCUGAAGGGAGAGAUCCUCAACAGGGAGAAGAUGGUAGAUCUCUUGGCUGGUCCAGACGCCUACCGAGACCUUCCCCGGCUGCUGGCUGUGGUGGAGUCAGGUCAGCAAGCAGCAAAUGUGCUUCUCUCUCUGGAUGAGACCUACGCAGAUAUCAUGCCAGUCCAGACGAGCCCCAGUGCCACUUCUGCCUUUGUAUCCAUUAUGCGGGGCUGCGACAACAUGUGCAGUUACUGUAUCGUGCCGUUCACGCGUGGCCGGGAGAGGAGCCGGCCAGUUGCCUCCAUUCUCGAUGAAGUGAGGAAGCUGUCCGAGCAGGGCCUAAAAGAAGUGACACUUCUUGGUCAGAAUGUUAAUAGUUUUCGGGACAAUUCGGAAGUCCAGUUCAAUAAUGCAGGGUCUGCUAACCUCAGCCGUGGCUUUACCACCAACUAUAAACCCAAACAAGGAGGGCUUCGUUUUUCUCACCUUCUGGAUCAGGUUUCAAGAAUCGAUCCUGAAAUGAGGAUCCGAUUCACCUCUCCUCACCCCAAGGAUUUUCCUGAUGAGGUUCUUCAGCUGAUUCGUGAGAGACACAACAUCUGUAAGCAGAUCCACCUGCCAGCCCAGAGUGGAAGCAGCCGUGUACUGGAUGCCAUGCGGAGAGGAUAUUCAAGAGAAGCAUAUGUGGCAUUAGUUCAUCAUGUCAGAGAGACUAUCCCAGGUGUGAGCCUUAGCAGCGACUUCAUCACUGGCUUUUGUGGAGAGACAGAGGAUGAUCACCGGCAGACAGUGUCUUUACUUAGAGAAGUGCAGUAUAAUACCGGUUUUCUCUUUGCAUACAGCAUGAGGCAAAAGACACGAGCAUAUCACAGGCUGAAGGAUGAUGUUCCAGAAGAAGUAAAAUUAAGGCGUUUGGAGGAACUCAUUACUGUCUUCAGAGAAGAAGCUUCAAAAGCCAAUAAGACCUCAGUGGGUUGUAGCCAGCUGGUACUGGUUGAAGGGUUCAGCAAACGUUCUACCACAGACCUUUGUGGCCGGAAUGAUGCAAACCUUAAGGUGAUUUUCCCUGACGCAGAGGUGGAGGAUAUCACUAACCCUGGGCUCAAGGUCAGAGCUCAACCUGGGGACUAUGUGCUGGUGAAGCCACCUUUCUCCAGGCUCUGCCCUCAGGUGAGGCUGGUCCCUGGCACCGGCAGCCUCCUAUAUAUUGGAUAUCCUGGAAAAGAUUACCUGGGUAUUCUUCACUCUGGCCAAUCUGAGUUCGGUCACUUCAGUCUUCUCUGAUGUCAGCAUGCAAAUGGUCCCCUGGGUACUUGUCGCAUCCGCUCUCGACCAGCAAGAACGACAGGACCACCAGUUCUUCUAACAGCAGUUUAUUCAGCAAGCUUCAGUCUUCAUCUCUCUCCAAGGAACCCUGGGUCUCUCACUCUUAUAUUCUCUCAGCCCCUAUCCACCUCACCAGGCACUCGGUUUCAGCCAAUCAGGGCGGCAGGGGUGCGUCUCCACCAAAUAUGGACUUGUUUACACCACCAGCUCUGCAUCCGGCAGGUGCCAUCUUUCAGGAGUUCCAGUUUUCACCUGGAUGCUCAGGCUUGAGAACUGGUGGAAGACAGAGUUCCAGGAGACAGCAGAGACGUAGGAAGCACACAGGAAGCACGAGGCUGACCAUGGCUUGUUCUGAAGCGCUUCCUUCAGCCAGCAGGACAAACUGUCAGCGAAAGUUCACAGAUUUGAUGGAAUAUGUUAGAGAAGACUGGGUUCUAUAUUUUAAGAUUUUUAAAAAAAUUUAUGUGUAUGUAUGUAUGUAUGUAUGUGUGUGUGUGCCUACAUGAGAUUCUGUGAACCACGUGUGGGCAUGUGCUUUGGCAGUCAGAGGGCACCAGAGUCCCUGGAACUGUAGUUACAGGUGGUUGUGAGCUGAUUGAUGUAGGUUCUAGGCCCUUUGUAGGAGCAGUAAAUGCUUUUAAUCUCUGAUCCACCUCUA